AUUGAACGCUGGCGGCAUGCUUUACACAUGCAAGUCGAACGGUAACAGGCCUUCGGGUGCUGACGAGUGGCGAACGGGUGAGUAAUGCAUCGGAACGUGCCCAGAGGUGGGGGAUAACGCAGCGAAAGCUGUGCUAAUACCGCAUGUGAUCUGAGGAUGAAAGCGGGGGACCAGGCAGCAAUGUUUGGCCUCGCGCCUUUGGAGCGGCCGAUGUCAGAUUAGGUAGUUGGUGGGGUAAAGGCCUACCAAGCCGACGAUCUGUAGCUGGUCUGAGAGGACGACCAGCCACACUGGGACUGAGACACGGCCCAGACUCCUACGGGAGGCAGCAGUGGGGAAUUUUGGACAAUGGGCGCAAGCCUGAUCCAGCAAUGCCGCGUGCGGGAAGAAGGCCUUCGGGUUGUAAACCGCUUUUGUACGGAACGAAAAGGCUCUGGCUAAUACCUGGGGCUGAUGACGGUACCGUAAGAAUAAGCACCGGCUAUCUACGUG
This 492-nucleotide ribosomal RNA is filed under the name uncultured bacterium. RNAcentral's name for it is "partial 16S ribosomal RNA". It matches the Rfam family "Bacterial small subunit ribosomal RNA", at positions 30 to 507 of the family's 1533-position model. The record is from RNAcentral.